RNAcentral lists this transfer RNA (82 nucleotides) under Oenococcus sicerae. RNAcentral's name for it is "tRNA-Tyr(gta)". It matches the Rfam family "tRNA". From Rfam's summary of the family: Transfer RNA (tRNA) molecules are approximately 80 nucleotides in length. Their secondary structure includes four short double-helical elements and three loops (D, anti-codon, and T loops). Lineage: Bacteria; Bacillati; Bacillota; Bacilli; Lactobacillales; Lactobacillaceae. The record is from RNAcentral.
GGGAGUGUAGCGAAGUGGUUAAACGCUGCGGACUGUAAAUCCGCCCUCUUUGAGUUCGUAGGUUCGAAUCCUACCGCUCCCA